Molecule: long non-coding RNA, 769 nt
Filed under: Homo sapiens (human)
Lineage: Eukaryota; Metazoa; Chordata; Mammalia; Primates; Hominidae
Description: non-protein coding lnc-RAB11FIP2-2:1
Source: RNAcentral
GCGGCCUCCACCAGGCUGCAGGAUAUGAGGGCCAUUUAAUUAGGCCCUGCACCACUCUCGGGUGUGAAAAGGCUCUCAAACGCUUUGAUUCCCCGCUGCUUCGCAGCAGGAAGUUGUUGGCGAUAAUUGACAUAGGAUUUCCUUGUUAACCAGCAGCAGACACGCCGGAUUAAAGCGACAGAGAUCUCGAGAAGAAAGUGAAAGAGAUAAGAAGCUCGGAAGACUUCUGCUUAUUUGGCACUUGAGGAUGGCAGGAAACAGCAAUAACCUACUCAAGUGGCGACUCUAGAGUGGAAGGGCGUCCCCUUAUCAGACCUAUUUCAGCUUGGCUGAUCAAAGAUUGACUCCCCGCAAAAUCACAUAGGCCUGGGGUUUGUUAGUUUAUUAAGCAGCAGGUUUUAGGAAUUAUCACAGGUUUAAAGAUGGAUUGCAGUUUAUGUGAAGGGGGAGAGGAUUAUCGGGUUUUCAUCUUAACAAUUAUAAAAUAUCACAGCUGAAAGCUUGCUUGCAAAUGACAUAAUUUUCCACUGCCAACUAAACAGGUCAUUGUGAGGCUGCCUGUGAGCGCACUCAACGAGGGAGGAAAUACAGGCAAAUUAACUCUGGGGAGGACCGGGGAUGAGGGGCCUCCACGCCUUGUUCCACUUCGGAAGACGGUGCGAUCUCAUUUUGCCCUGUGCGAUUCCUUAGAAGAUACUCAGCUAGAAGAUUCCUCUGUGAGGCUGCUAGUACUUCUCCAGCAGACCAAGCCAGGAGAGCUUUCUCAAAG